RNAcentral lists this ribosomal RNA (203 nucleotides) under uncultured Synechococcus sp. RNAcentral's name for it is "partial 23S ribosomal RNA". It matches the Rfam family "Bacterial large subunit ribosomal RNA", at positions 1 to 218 of the family's 2925-position model. Lineage: Bacteria; Bacillati; Cyanobacteriota; Cyanophyceae; Synechococcales; Synechococcaceae. The record is from RNAcentral.
GGUCAAGCUACAAAGGGCUCAUGGCGGAUACCUUGGCACACAGAGGCGAUGAAGGACGUGGUUACCUGCGAUAUGUCUCGGGGAGCUGGAUACACGCUUUGAUCCGGGAAUUUCCGAAUGGGGCAACCCUUAGAACGGCCAGCUGAAUACAUAGGCUGGCGCGAGCCAACCCAGCGAAUUGAAACAUCUUAGAGCGAGAAGAA